AGGACGAACGCUGGCGGCGUGCCUAACACAUGCAAGUCGAACGCGCUCCAUUCGGUAGCAAUACUGAUGAAGAGUGAGUGGCGAACGGGUGAGUAACACAUGAGCAACCUGCCCCGAAGACCGGGACAACACCGGGAAACCGGUGCUAAUACCGGAUAUCCCUAUCGGACCGCAUGAUCUGAUAAGGAAAUGGAUUCCGCUUCGGGAGGGGCUCGUGGCCUAUCAGCUAGUUGGUGAGGUAACGGCUCACCAAGGCAUCGACGGGUAGCUGGUCUGAGAGGACGAUCAGCCACACUGGGACUGAGACACGGCCCAGACUCCUACGGGAGGCAGCAGUGGGGAAUCUUGCGCAAUGGGCGAAAGCCUGACGCAGCAACGCCGCGUGGAGGACGAAGGCUUUCUGAGUUGUAAACUCCUUUCAGCAGGGACGAUAGUGACGGUACCUGCAGAGAAGCACGGCCAACUACGUGCCAGCAGCCGA
Molecule: ribosomal RNA, 481 nt
Filed under: uncultured bacterium
Lineage: Bacteria
Description: SSU rRNA
Rfam family: Bacterial small subunit ribosomal RNA
Source: RNAcentral